RNAcentral lists this transfer RNA (75 nucleotides) under Sulfurimonadaceae bacterium. Its description in RNAcentral is "tRNA-Thr". It matches the Rfam family "tRNA". Rfam says of the family: Transfer RNA (tRNA) molecules are approximately 80 nucleotides in length. Their secondary structure includes four short double-helical elements and three loops (D, anti-codon, and T loops). Lineage: Bacteria; Pseudomonadati; Campylobacterota; Epsilonproteobacteria; Campylobacterales; Sulfurimonadaceae. The record is from RNAcentral.
GCUCACAUGGCUCAGCGGUAGAGCACUUCCUUGGUAAGGAAGAGGUCCCGGGUUCGAUUCCCGGUGUGAGCUCCA